Molecule: ribosomal RNA, 1462 nt
Filed under: uncultured bacterium
Lineage: Bacteria
Description: partial 16S ribosomal RNA
Rfam family: Bacterial small subunit ribosomal RNA
Source: RNAcentral
GAUGAACGCUCGCGGCAGAACUUAAUCCACGUCGAGUCGUGGGGCAGCGGGUUUCUCCGGGAACGCCGGCGACCGGCGAACGGGUGAGUCACACGUAUGGAACCUACCCUUAACUCGGGGAAUAGCCUCGAGAAAUCGAGGGUAAUACCCCAUACCAUCUUUGAGGGACAUCCCUUUUGGAUGAAAGCUCCGGCGGUUAAGGAUGGCCAUGCGGUCCAUUAGCUUGUUGGUGAGAUAACCGCUCACCAAGGCCACGAUGGAUAGCUGAUCUGAGAGGAUAAUCAGCCACAUUGGCACUGAGACACGGGCCAAACUCCUACGGGAGGCAGCAGUAGGGAAUCUUGGUCAAUUGGCGAAAGCCAGAACCAGUCAUGCCGCGUGCAGGAUGAAGGCCCUAUGGGUCGUAAACUGCUUUUAUUCGGGAAGAAAAAGUCUGUUUCCACAGAUUCUUGACGGUACCGAUUGAAUAAGGACCGGCCAACUCCGUGCCAGCAGCCGCGGUAAUACGGAGGGUCCAAGCGUUAUCCGGAUUCACUGGGUUUAAAGGGUGCGCAGGCGGCUAAGUAAGUCAGUGGUGAAAGCCUUCGGCUCAACCGGAGAAUUGCCAUUGAAACUACUUAGCUUGAGUGCAGUAGAGGUAGGCGGAAUGUAGCAUGUAGCGGUGAAAUGCAUAGAUAUGCUACAGAACACCGAUAGCGAAAGCAGCUUACCAGACUGCAACUGACGCUGAGGCACGAAAGCAUGGGUAGCAAACAGGAUUAGAUACCCUGGUAGUCCAUGCCGUAAACUUUGAACACUCGGAGUCUGCCACUUAGUGGUAGGCUCCCUAGCGAAAGCGUUAAGUGUUCCACCUGGGGAGUACGGCCGCAAGGCUAAAACUCAAAGGAAUUGACGGGGGCCCGCACAAGCGGAGGAGCACGUGGUUUAAUUAGAUGAAAAGCUACGAACCUUACCAAGCCUUGACAUGCAAGUAGUAGGCGGGCUGAAAGGCCGGCCGACCCCUGUUUAUCAGGGGGGCUUGCACAGGUGGUGCAUGGCUGUCGUCAGCUCGUGCCGUGAGGUGUUGGGUUAAGUCCCGCGACGAGCGAAACCCCUGCCCUUAGUUGCCAGCAUUAAGUUGGGGACUCUAAGGGUACUGCCAGUGAAAAACUGGAGGAAGGCGGGGACGACGUCAAGUCCAUAUGCCCCUUAUGGCUUGGGCUACACACGUGCUACAAUGGACGGUCCAACGGGUUGCCACACCGCGAGGUGGAGCGAAUCCUUCAACGCCGUUCAAAGUUCGGAUUGCAGUCUGCAACUCGACUGCAUGAAGUCGGAAUCGCUAGUAAUCGUGGAUCAGCAAUGCUACGGUGAAUACGUUCUCGGGCCUUGUACACACCGCCCGUCACACCACAAAAGUCGGCAACACCCAAAGUCAGUGACCCGCGAGGGAGCUGCCUAAGGUGGGGCCGGUGAUUGGGGU